RNAcentral lists this ribosomal RNA (936 nucleotides) under uncultured bacterium. RNAcentral's name for it is "bacterial SSU rRNA". It matches the Rfam family "Bacterial small subunit ribosomal RNA", at positions 8 to 994 of the family's 1533-position model. The record is from RNAcentral.
AGAGUUUGAUCCUGGCUCAGAACGUACGCUGGCGGCACGCCUAACACAUGCAAGUCGAACGCAGUAGCAAUACUGAGUGGCAGACGGGUGAGUAACAUGUGGGAAUCUGCCUUGUGGUUCAGGACAACAUUGGGAAACCGAUGCUAAUACUGGAUAAGCCCUUACGGGGAAAGUUUUAAUGCCAUAAGAUGAGCCCGCAUUUGAUUAGUUAGUUGGUGAGGUAAUGGCUCACCAAGACAAUGAUCAAUAGCUGAUCUGAGAGGAUGAUCAGCCACACUGGGACUGAGACACGGCCCAGACUCCUACGGGAGGCAGCAGUGGGGAAUCUUGCACAAUGGAGGAAACUCUGAUGCAGCGAUGCCGCGUGAGUGAAGAAGGCCUUUGGGUUGUAAAGCUCUUUUGUAGGGGAAGAUAAUGACUGUACCCUAAGAAUAAGGUCCGGCUAACUUCGUGCCAGCAGCCGCGGUAAUACGAAGGGACCUAGCGUAGUUCGGAAUUACUGGGCGUAAAGCGCGCGUAGGCCGUUGAGUUAGUUAAUUGUGAAAUCCCAAAGCUUAACUUUGGAACUGCAAUUAAAACUGCUCGACUAGAGUUUGAUAGAGGAAAGCGGAAUACAUAGUGUAGAGGUGAAAUUCGUAGAUAUUAUGUAGAACACCAGUUGCGAAGGCGGCUUUCUGGAUCAACACUGACGCUGAGGCGCGAAAGUAUGGGUAGCAAAGAGGAUUAGAUACCCUCGUAGUCCAUACCAUAAACGAUGAUUGCUAGAUGUUGGAAAUUUAUUUUCAGUAUCGCAGCUAACGCAUUAAGCAAUCCGCCUGGGGAGUACGACCGCAAGGUUAAAACUCAAAUGAAUUGACGGGGACCCGCACAAGCGGUGGAGCAUGUGGUUUAAUUCGAAGAUACGCGCAGACCUUACCAACCCUUGACAUGUCUGUC